AAGUCUGAUGGAGCAAUACCACGUGAACGAUGAAGGUCUUCUGAUUGUAAAGUUCUUUUAUUUAGGAAAAAAAGCGCGCUAGGAAAUGAGCGCGCCUUGAUGGUACUAAUUGAAUAAGUGACAGCUAACUAUGUGCCAGCAGCUGCGGUAAAACAUAGGUCACAAGCAUUAUCCGGAUUUAUUGGGCGUAAAGGAAGCGUAGGCGGGGAGGCUGAUCCAUUGUUAAAGGCAUUUGCUCAACAAAUGUGUGCGAUGGAGAUCUCCUCCCUAGAGUUAAUC
Molecule: ribosomal RNA, 279 nt
Filed under: Mycoplasma ovis
Lineage: Bacteria; Bacillati; Mycoplasmatota; Mollicutes; Mycoplasmatales; Mycoplasmataceae
Description: partial 16S ribosomal RNA
Rfam family: Bacterial small subunit ribosomal RNA
Source: RNAcentral